CCUACGGGGGGCUGCAGUGGGGAAUAUUGGACAAUGGGGGGAACCCUGAUCCAGCCAUGCCGCGUGUGUGAAGAAGGCCCUCGGGUUGUAAAGCACUUUCAGUGAGGAAGAACGCCUGGUGGUUAAUACCCAUCAGGAAAGACAUCACUCACAGAAGAAGCACCGGCUAACUCCGUGCCAGCAGCCGCGGUAAUACGGAGGGUGCGAGCGUUAAUCGGAAUUACUGGGCGUAAAGCGCGCGUAGGUGGCUUGAUAAGCCGGUUGUGAAAGCCCCGUGCUCAACCUGGGAACGGCAUCCGGAACUGUCAAGCUAGAGUGCAGGAGAGGAAGGUAGAAUUCCCGGUGUAGCGGUGAAAUGCGUAGAGAUCGGGAGGAAUACCAGUGGCGAAGGCGGCCUUCUGGACUGACACUGACACUGAGGUGCGAAAGCGUGGGUAGCAAACAGGAUUAGAUACCCGUGUAGUC
Molecule: ribosomal RNA, 465 nt
Filed under: Vreelandella stevensii
Lineage: Bacteria; Pseudomonadati; Pseudomonadota; Gammaproteobacteria; Oceanospirillales; Halomonadaceae
Description: partial 16S ribosomal RNA
Rfam family: Bacterial small subunit ribosomal RNA
Source: RNAcentral